Aegilops tauschii subsp. strangulata is the source of this 687-nucleotide non-coding RNA. NCBI's taxonomy places the organism in Eukaryota, Viridiplantae, Streptophyta, Magnoliopsida, Poales, Poaceae. The record is from RefSeq and is a predicted model, not a curated record.
GGCCGAAGGGCUAGCGUCGGGCCGUUGCCUCGGGCGCCGCCUGCACGGAUGCAAGCCGAGGGCUGCGGCGUCGCCACUGCCCGGGCUGUGGACCGCGCUGCCGCGUGCCUGAGGGCAUCGCCAUGCCUGGCACCGGCCGUUGGCCGCUGCGGCCGCCUCCAGGUGUAGCGCUGGGAGCAGCCGGGCCGAAGGAUGCUACCGCUCCGCUAGGAGGCUGGCCGAGGGAGCGCUGUCCAGGCCAUGGGUCGCCGACGAAGUUUGCCUUGGAUGGCAUUCAAACGACGCCCUGGAGAUCGUGAGACUUGCCGCGCCUGGGUGGGUGCUGGCUGCCGCCGUCUUCGCCGACCGAUGUGCCGUGAGCGGCCAUGGGGCGUGGAGACGCGUCGUGCGCCACCAUGGCGUGGGGGCCGUGGCCGGUAGCCGCCGGGAGCCACGGCUGCGUGUGUAGGCGAAGGAGCCGAACAUCGGAUGUUGGCUCGCCGUGUCAGCCUCUGGGGCCGAGGGGCGCCGUGCAGCACGCGCAGGCCGGAGGGAGCGUCACUGCGGAGGGCCGGCCGUCUCGCAGCGCCUUGGUGCCGCAUCCGCCGCCGUUCUUCCGCUGUGACCUAUUUCUCUAAUCGAGAGUGGAGUGCGUGAUAACGUGUUCGAGAUCGAUAGAACAAAUGAUUGAACUAUCUCUUUGCAUUA